This is a long non-coding RNA of Ficedula albicollis (Collared flycatcher), 2150 nucleotides long. RefSeq lists it as uncharacterized. The record is from RefSeq and is a predicted model, not a curated record. Lineage: Eukaryota; Metazoa; Chordata; Aves; Passeriformes; Muscicapidae. The transcript has 3 exons.
UAAACAUGUAGACAUAUAUACGAUUCUUUAUGCAGUUAUAAAAACAUAAGGUCUCUUUGCCUCAGGAUAUGAUUUCUCUUAUAGCAACAGGUAGCAAAGGCUCCUGUGUCCUCUCUCUCCCCUUACCUCCUCCCCUUCAGCUCCUCCUGACAAAAUGCCGAUUUAAAAGGUCAGCCUGUUUGUGUAAAUAUUGUGGGUUUCUUAACAAAGACUGCUGCACAUCAAGCCUGCGAUAACUGUCGAAUAGACUUGGGAUUCAAGACAUUCAGUAAGGGUCUUGUCCAUUUUCCAAGACCGAUUAAAAACUCGGAGAAAACAAAGGACAGACGUGGUGUGUGAGUGGGACGGACCAACAGCACAGGGGCAGCAGCACCGUCACGGCAGCGUUUGGUACUGCAAUGUCCAUCGAAUGGUAUUGCAUGUGUGGGAGAGAGACACACGAAAUGGAUAAGAAGUGAUUUGCUAAUGUGUACUAAUGCCUUUCUGCUCUUUCCUUCAGGUUUGUUCUUCUCUCUAGUGAUGUCCUAGGCUGAACUCGCUUUGCAGCUCGUUCACACCAAAGCUAGCUUUAAUCAGCCGAGGAGGAUUUUUGGGUCUGGCCAAUCUCACCCUCCUAUAAAAGAGAUUGACUUCAUUAGUCUUCGGCUCAGACACUUCACAAUGAGUUCUUGUCUUGCAGCAGUCCAGGUUGAGUCGUUGUGGCACACAACAGUUGUCCUCUCCAGCUGGCAGGUGAGUGGUUUGGAGGAUCUUGGAGAAGGCACUGUACUGAAGAGAGCACCAUUCCUACUCAUGGACAUCACAACACUCACGUGAAGUCUGCAGUUACAGGAUAAAGGGAAACAGCAAUAGCCUUUUGUGUCUUUUGCUGCCUUAUGUUGAGAAACUUUUAAUUAUUUUGAUAUGAAGCUUCUGUUUUCUGGUGGGUUUCUGUUUAGAAGAGGGCUGUGGUAAAAUACUUACACUUCCUAAAUUCCUGCACAAAGAAAUUUCAAGUGCAGUCUCUUCAGAGUGCAGGUGUUAGACAAUGGAAAAUAAAUGUGUAGAUUUAGAAAUUAGGAAAUAAUGCUGUUGCUUGAAAGUCUACUGUCUUAGCAAAGUUAUGGAGGGAGAAAAACAUGACUAUGAAUGCACAUGCUUCAGUUCAGUCAGACAAAAUGUAAUUUUGAUAUAACUUUCAGGAUUAAUUCUUUCUCUGGAUACUGUUAUUAUGAGCUAGUCAGAAAAGGAACAAAAAAGCAUCUGUGCAUACAAGACAGCACAAAAUUUCCAUAGAAGAUCCAGCCUCUCUAGAAGUCCAGGAUUUAGCUGAGAUUAAUUCAGAUAUCUUUAAAUUUUCGGUUUCUCUCACUAUGUCAGACAGCAUAUACUACAUCUGGAUAAAACUGCAGCUGCUGCUUUCUUUGUUCUUUUAAGCAUGUUAUAUUUUUGUAGAGCUACAGAACAUGGCAGAGUACUGAAGGAGAGGAUAAAAUAUGCUUGAGGAUGCUUGAGGUUAUCAUCUGCACACACUGCAGUAAAGGAUCUAGUCCUAAAGUGCAAUGCUAAGCCCUGUACUGGUCACCUAAUUAACCAUGAAUGCUAUUCAAGUGCAGCAAUGUCAAUUUAUGUCUUGCUUCUUAUAUACUGAUAGGCCUGGGAAUGCUGGAAAUAAAUAUCAUCUUUAAGGUUGGAUUCCAAUAUUUUCCAUUUGCUCUGCAAACUGUUAAAGUCCAUUUGACCAAAAAAAGGAUAUAAAAAGACACAUGCACCAGUUUUGUUGUUUGUUCACACAUUGUAGAAGAACAAUAUUCUCUUUCUUUUACUUCUCCCAAGAAGAUUUAGAGAGUCACUGACAUUAGUAAACAAAUAAAAGAGAGCCAUAAAGAUUCUUCAUAGUUUUCUUGCCUAGAACUUUUAAAAAAGAAAAAGAAUUAUCAUUGACAUUUCCUUGCAAAAUUAUAUAGGUGUGGGAGCUUAGGGUUGUGAUUUGUUUCUCUUAAAAAUAAAAGUGGCUGUGAGGAAAUGAUACUAUGUUCUUUAAAGUUAUUUUUAAGGCUAUUACCCUUUCCAUUUGUGAGAACUUUGGUUCUCUCUCUCCAUUUACUACAGUAUUUAUUGAAUCCUCAUUUCUCGCACCUUCUCUGUUGAGGUUUGUAAGAAUUCUCAGA